UAGUCCACGCCGUAAACGAUGGACACUAGCUGUUGGGAUUAAUCUCAGCGGCUAAGCGAAAGUGAUAAGUGUCCCACCUGGGGAGUACGAUCGCAAGAUUGAAACUCAAAGGAAUUGACGGGGGCCCGCACAAGCGGUGGAGCAUGUGGUUUAAUUCGAUGAUACGCGAGGAACCUUACCAGGGCUUAAAUGUAAUAUGACAGGACUAGAGAUAGUUUUUUCUUCGGACAUAUUACAAGGUGCUGCAUGGUUGUCGUCAGUUCGUGCCGUGAGGUGUCAGGUUAAGUCCUAUAACGAGCGCAACCCCUGCCGUUAGUUGCCAGCAUUUAAAGAUGGGGACUCUAGCGGGACUGCCGGUGCAAACCGAGAGGGAAGGUGGGGAUGACGUCAAAUCAUCAUGGGCCUUUAUGCCUAGGGGCUACACACGUGCUACAAUGGGUGCAUACAGCGGGGUAGCGAAAUCGCGAGGGUGGGAGCUAA
This 480-nucleotide ribosomal RNA is filed under the name uncultured bacterium. RNAcentral describes it as "bacterial SSU rRNA". It matches the Rfam family "Bacterial small subunit ribosomal RNA", at positions 791 to 1271 of the family's 1533-position model. The record is from RNAcentral.